UACGUAGGGUGCAAGCGUUGUCCGGAAUUAUUGGGCGUAAAGGGCUCGUAGGCGGUCCAUCGCGUCGGGAGUGAAAAGCUGGGGCUUAACCCCAGUCCUGCUUCCGAUACGGGUGGACUAGAGGUAGGUAGGGGAGAUCGGAAUUCCUGGUGUAGCGGUGAAAUGCGCAGAUAUCAGGAGGAACACCGGUGGCGAAGGCGGGUCCCUGGGCCGAUACUGACGCUGAGGAGCGAAAGCGUGGGGAGCGAACAGG
This 253-nucleotide ribosomal RNA is filed under the name uncultured bacterium. RNAcentral describes it as "partial 16S ribosomal RNA". It matches the Rfam family "Bacterial small subunit ribosomal RNA", at positions 524 to 776 of the family's 1533-position model. The record is from RNAcentral.